AACGUACGCUGGCGGCACGCCUAACACAUGCAAGUCGAACGAAGUAGCAAUAGUUAGUGGCAGACGCGUGAGUAACAUGUGGGUAUCUACCCUUUGGCCUGGAAUAACACGAGGAAACUUGUGCUAAUACCGGAUAAGUCUUUACGGAGAAAGCUUUAUGCACCAUUGGAUGAGCCCGCACUUGAUUAGUUUGUUGGUAGGGUAAUGGCCUACCAAGACUAUGAUCAAUAGCUGAUUUGAGAGGAUGAUCAGCCACAUUGGGACUGAGACACGGCCCAAACUCCUACGGGAGGCAGCAGUGGGGAAUCUUGCACAAUGGAGGAAACUCUGAUGCAGCGAUGCCGCGUGAGUGAAGAAGGCCUUUGGGUUGUAAAGCUCUUUCGUCGGGGAAGAAAAUGACUGUACCCGAAUAAGAAGGUCCGGCUAACUUCGUGCCAGCAACCGCGGUAAUACGAAGGGACCUAGCGUAGUUCGGAAUUACUGGGCUUAAAGAGUUCGUAGGUGGUUGAAAAAGUUGGUGGUGAAAUCCCAGAGCUUAACUCUGGAACUGCCAUCAAAACUUUUCAGCUAGAGUAUGAUAGAGGAAAGCAGAAUUUCUAG
This 600-nucleotide ribosomal RNA is filed under the name bacterium IMCC7672. RNAcentral's name for it is "bacterial SSU rRNA". It matches the Rfam family "Bacterial small subunit ribosomal RNA", at positions 28 to 673 of the family's 1533-position model. The record is from RNAcentral.